AUAUCUUUUAUUUUCCUUCUGAUUUGCUUGUAUUAUUUUCACUUUGUCUACAGUUUUACCUGCCACACAAUGUCUGUCUUCACCACAUAAUGAGAUCAAAUAGUCAUAGCUCUGGUCUGGAUUAAAUCCUAGAUCUUAAUCACAUUCAUCCAUUCAUGGACUUACAGAUCAUCUAAAUGAGGAACUCAGGGCACUCAGCAGACAAAUCCUUAGCAAGCCAAUACAGACCUGCUAAGAGUCUAAGUGAAAUUGCGUGAUGCUCCAACCAACCUGAGAGCUGCAUUAAGCAAGGAACACAGUGACAAGGAUACUGCAGUCUGCCAGGGGAAAUCAUGAUAUUUUUAAGUCCUACCUAAUGUCUGAAAAACUGAAUAUGGACACUGAAAAUGCAUCACCCACAAUGAAACUGUGCUACUUUGAGCUCUUGCACUGCAGAGAAGAGAGGUAUUAA
RNAcentral lists this long non-coding RNA (451 nucleotides) under Coturnix japonica (Japanese quail). Its description in RNAcentral is "lncRNA (ENSCJPG00005006776.1)". Lineage: Eukaryota; Metazoa; Chordata; Aves; Galliformes; Phasianidae. The record is from RNAcentral.